Molecule: ribosomal RNA, 25 nt
Filed under: Triticum aestivum (bread wheat)
Lineage: Eukaryota; Viridiplantae; Streptophyta; Magnoliopsida; Poales; Poaceae
Also listed under: 1 other name
Description: 25S ribosomal RNA from Triticum aestivum (PDB 2WWB, chain F)
Source: RNAcentral
CCACGUCAACAGCAGUUGGACGUGG